Biomphalaria pfeifferi is the source of this 1272-nucleotide non-coding RNA. Lineage: Eukaryota; Metazoa; Mollusca; Gastropoda; Planorbidae. The record is from the annotation of a GenBank genome assembly.
CCCCCCCCCCCCCCCCCCCCCGUCACAUUACCUGUCACCUGAUGGUUCUGUGUUCCAACACUGCAUUUGCAGCAAGUUUGGGCUAGAACUCAAUAUAUAUUUCUGAAUGAAUGCCUGACAUAAACAAAGAUGUGUCCAAGUACGUUCUCUUCAUAUAUUUACCUGCCUUUUCCUGAAUUGGCCUGACUUUGAACUUGAUUAUGCGCUUAGCAAAUAUGUUUUUGGUCUCAAUGCUCUUAUGCUACUUCAGUAGCCAUGAAUUAAAAAUGUUAAUUUCUGUCAAUAUUUAGUUGUGUAUUUCACUUCUAAGACAGUUGUUUCUAUCUGGGGAGACAAUAAAUAGCCCUUGAAAGUUUCCUUUCUGAGACACAUUUCUUCAGUUCCCGAGAGUUGAAUCUAAAAAGCAAUACUAUAUAUUACAUUUGGCAUCAACUCGGAUGCAGGAGCCUCGAAAAGGAAAACCAUAGUAAUCACAAACUGCUAAGAUGCUCUUGAUUUUCACAGACUCAGAAAUAACAAAGAUUGACUGCUGCAGGGGUGAAUGACUGUAUCGAAAAUUCAGGAAACAUACAUAUAGGUAACCCUGCCGAACGGUUGCAUGUUCUUUGUAUUUUCUUGACUUUCCCACAAGGUUUAUUCUUGAAACCUUAAAACCAUAAGAAAGAUGGAAUAUAAAAUUAAGAGUGCCUGUUCUCCUAAAAAUAAUAACAUUCAGAUAUGGAUCAGAAUCAUCGGCCCAAUUCUGCAGGUUUUUUCAGAUGUACCAGGUAUAUACCCACCUACCUCUGGUUUUUAUACUAAUCUUAAGUAAGAUAAAGAGGAAACAACAAAUAGAUAAUGAUGAAUCGACUGUUAUAUUCUGAAUUGUUUUGUGCACUAGCUAAUUACAACUUUUUAACUGGACUAAUAACUGAACACACCUUUGUUCUGAGGUCAAGGAUACUGUGUAGUAGCCUGUGUGUGAUGAAAAUGUCCAGAAUAAAUACCAUUUGUUGUUGAAAUGUGUUAUCUCAUAUCUAUUAACAUUUUAUCAGGACUACUGUGAAAUUCUAUAUGUUAAAACCAUCUACUUGAUGUACAAAGUCAUUGGAUCUGUUGAUUGGGAACUCAUUUUUCUAAGCCAAAGUUUGUGCUGUCCCUUCACUAGAACUUUACUUCACUUAUGUGUUCCAUACUUGUUAUCAUUUAUAUACUUUGUUCGCAAAUAAUAAAUAUUCUAUGCUUGUUUUUUUUUUUUAACUAGGUGUUUUUGUGUAUUUUUUUAAAUAAAUA